UACAGAGGUGGCAAGCGUUGUUCGGAAUUACUGGGCGUAAAGCGCGCGUAGGCGGCCUUCUAAGUCAGACGUGAAAUCCCCCGGCUUAACCUGGGAACUGCGUCUGAUACUGGAGGGCUUGAGUAUGGUAGAGGGAUGUAGAAUUCCAGGUGUAGCGGUGAAAUGCGUAGAUAUCUGGAGGAAUACCGGUGGCGAAGGCGGCAGCCUGGACCAUUACUGACGCUGAGGCGCGAAAGCUAGGGGAGCAAACGGG
Molecule: ribosomal RNA, 253 nt
Filed under: uncultured bacterium
Lineage: Bacteria
Description: partial 16S ribosomal RNA
Rfam family: Bacterial small subunit ribosomal RNA
Source: RNAcentral